GUAGGUGGCAAGCGUUGUCCGGAAUUAUUGGGCGUAAAGCGCGCGCAGGUGGGUUCUUUAAGUCUGAUGUGAAAGCCCCCGGGCUCAACCGGGGAGGGUCAUUGGAAACUGGGGAACUUGAGUGCAGGAGAGGAAAGUGGAAUUCCACGUGUAGCGGUGGAAUGCGUAGAUAUGUGGAGGAACACCAGUGGCGAAGGCGACUUUCUGGCCUGUAACUGACACUGAGGCGCGAAAGCGUGGGGAGCAAACAGGAUUAGAUACCCUGGUAGUCCACGCCGUAAACGAUGAGUGCUAAGUGUUGGGGGGUUUCCGCCCCUCAGUGCUGCAGCUAACGCAUUAAGCACUCCGCCUGGGGAGUACGGUCGCAAGACUG
RNAcentral lists this ribosomal RNA (373 nucleotides) under uncultured organism. RNAcentral's name for it is "partial 16S ribosomal RNA". It matches the Rfam family "Bacterial small subunit ribosomal RNA", at positions 527 to 896 of the family's 1533-position model. The record is from RNAcentral.